RNAcentral lists this ribosomal RNA (440 nucleotides) under uncultured bacterium. Its description in RNAcentral is "partial 16S ribosomal RNA". It matches the Rfam family "Bacterial small subunit ribosomal RNA", at positions 338 to 795 of the family's 1533-position model. The record is from RNAcentral.
CCUACGGGAGACAGCAGUGGGGGAUAUUGCACAAUGGGGGAAACCCUGAUGCAGCGACGCCGCGUGUGGGAAGACGGUCCUCUGGAUUGUAAACCACUGUCCUCAGGGACGAAGAUGAUGGUACCUGGGGAGGAAGCUCCGGCUAACUACGUGCGAGCAGCCGCGGUAAUACGUAGGGAGCAAGCGUUGUCCGGAAUUACUGGGUGUAAAGGGAGCGUAGGCGGGAUGGCAAGUUGGGUGUUAAAUCUACCAGCUCAACUGGUAGUCGCACUCAAAACUGCUAUUCUUGAGUGAAGUAGAGGCAGGCGGAAUGCCUGGUGUAGCGGUGAAAUGCGUAGAUAUUAGGAGGAACACCAGUGGCGAAGGCGGCCUGCUGGGCUUUUACUGACGCUGAGGCUCGAAAGUGUGGGGAGCAAACAGGAUUAGAUACCCUUGUAGUC